RNAcentral lists this ribosomal RNA (114 nucleotides) under Pteropus alecto (black flying fox). Lineage: Eukaryota; Metazoa; Chordata; Mammalia; Chiroptera; Pteropodidae. The record is from RNAcentral.
AUCUACGGCCAUGCCACCCUGAACAAGCCUGAUCCUGUCUGAUCUCAAAAGCUAAGCAGGGUCAGGCCUGGUUAGUACUUGGAGACCACCUAGGAAGACCAGGUGCUGUAGGUG